UACGUAGGGGGCAAGCGUUGUCCGGAAUUAUUGGGCGUAAAGCGCGUGUAGGCGGCCAGAUAAGUCCGCUGUGAAAUCUCGAGGCUCAACUUCGAGCUGUCGGCGGAAACCAUCUGGCUAGAGUCCGGAAGAGGAGAGUGGAAUUCCUGGUGUAGCGGUGAAAUGCGCAGAUAUCAGGAAGAACACCCGUGGCGAAGGCGGCUCUCUGGGACGGUACUGACGCUGAGACGCGAAAGCGUGGGGAGCGAACAGG
Molecule: ribosomal RNA, 253 nt
Filed under: uncultured bacterium
Lineage: Bacteria
Description: partial 16S ribosomal RNA
Rfam family: Bacterial small subunit ribosomal RNA
Source: RNAcentral